Molecule: non-coding RNA, 45 nt
Filed under: Schistosoma haematobium
Lineage: Eukaryota; Metazoa; Platyhelminthes; Trematoda; Strigeidida; Schistosomatidae
Source: RNAcentral
AUCUAGCUGAAGAGUCCUGGAUAGGACGAAACGCGCGUCCUGAAU